ACAGGACCAUGACAACUGAAAACUCCCCACCUCUCACUGCCAGGCUAGCAGACAUGGAGUAACAAGAAACAGCAAUCUAAUGCUGCGUGGCAAGGGCACAGAGAGAAACCACUCUCUGGGGUAGACACAGAGAAACAUUGAGAAAAGCCUUCUAGCAACUCAGUCCCCACCCAAAGCAGAAUGUAAUACUACUAGAUUAGAAGCCAGUGGUGCCCUGAAGGUAACCACAGCAACAAAAAUAAACCCAAUCCCAGCUGAACUUCAGACCAAUUCAAACACCUUGAGUGUGUCCCCCAUGCCUGGGGAGCUUAAUAAUACUUGGGCCACUGGAAGAAAUUCUGAUUCCAAUGGUCUAGGGUGGGAACCUUGUCCUGGCAUUUAUUUAAAAGCUCCCUCAGCUGAUUCUAAUGUAAGUGGGAUUGAGAACCCCUAGCCUUGUCCCUUGUUCUCAAGUCACCAGUCACGCACCUAGUGACCUUGAAUUCUGUGACCUCUUGUGUAGUGGCUCAUAAACACCUUUUAAAAACCAGCUGAUGGUGAUUUAAGCGAGAUCAGGCAUGUCUGAAGAAAACACUGACUCUCUAGGACCGUGACCGACAGCCAUGCUGCAGAGCCUGGAAACAUGCCCAGUGAGAACUUUCAGUUCUUGGUCGAGCUGGGCGCUCCAUUCCUCUUGCUGCGGUCUCAACCGUGCAGUUUCAGCCGUGCUGCAAACCUGCAACAAGCUCCGAGGAGGCAGGUCUGCAGUGAUGUGCAAGAAAUGCCAGAAAAUAGCAAGGUGGAGGGCUAGCAAGGUGACUCUGCAUUUGCCAAGUUCCACAAUGUUCCACGACUCCCACUAUGGCUGAUUUCAGGCUACCAACAUCUUAACAACUGGCUGUCUCAUCUCCUGCCCCAUUCGCUCAAGCAUACACACAGCUGUAAGCUAACUACCCAUUUAUAUCUCCUGAAGCCACACGAUUUAAAUACCCUAGGAAAGGGUGGUGUGCUGUCUGACAACUUGGGAAGACAGAUGCUCAGAGACUCUAAGAAGAGGCCCUGGGAAGGCUGGAAAUAGAAGAGAAGCCAUGGAAUUGCAGAGAGACUACGAGGUGGGCGUGGAGAGGGACGCAAAGUCACCAUCACACAGAGCAAGGCGCUAAGCUUCCAGAAGGUCUCCAGCUUACUUAGCCCCUUUCUUCUCAUUAGAAAUCUAUGAGGUGUGAACAAUGUAUCUGGAAAUGAUCCGGGAAAGGGAGCACAAAGCUAAAGGCAGAAUCGCUGUGGGGUCCUGAAGAACUGGGCAUGGUGCUUGCCGAGUCCCCGGGCAACGUGGCGCCACCGUGGGUUUAAACCUGUUGAGCCGCGCGGGCGCCGGGGCCGUCUGCAGAUGAGGCUUUGACCAGCUGGGGAGGUGUAGCCAGUGUGUGCAGACGCCAGCUCGAUGCCAUUUCGUGAGGUUUGCCGCGCUGCUAUUAGUGUUAAAAAGCUCCACAAAGGAAAAGGAAAAGAGAAAGUCAUAUACUGUUGCUUUCAGCAAUUAACGUGGGUUCUACAGCAGGGGGAGUUCGCCUGUGUAAUAAACAGAAUAUUAUAGGUAGCAA
This is a non-coding RNA of Microcebus murinus (gray mouse lemur), 1583 nucleotides long. Lineage: Eukaryota; Metazoa; Chordata; Mammalia; Primates; Cheirogaleidae. The record is from RefSeq and is a predicted model, not a curated record.